UACAGAGGGGGCUAGCGUUGUUCGGAAUCACUGGGUGUAAAGGGCGCGUAGGCGGCCCGCUAAGUCGAACGUGAAAUCCCCGAGCUCAACUCGGGAACUGCGUCCGAUACUGGCGGGCUUGAAUCCGGGAGAGGGAUGCGGAAUUCCAGGUGUAGCGGUGAAAUGCGUAGAUAUCUGGAGGAACACCGGUGGCGAAGGCGGCAUCCUGGACCGGUAUUGACGCUGAGGCGCGAAAGCCAGGGGAGCAAACGGG
This 253-nucleotide ribosomal RNA is filed under the name uncultured bacterium. RNAcentral's name for it is "partial 16S ribosomal RNA". It matches the Rfam family "Bacterial small subunit ribosomal RNA", at positions 524 to 776 of the family's 1533-position model. The record is from RNAcentral.